GAGAUACAGGCAGGAAGGCAGCCUUUGACCUCAAAGUUGUAGUACAAAAGGCUUGAUUGAUAUUCCUUGCUAAGAAAAUCAGGAUGAACACUGCAGGCAAGGGCAGAAGAAUCCCACCAUCUUUUGUAUCUUAAAUAACGUUCAGCAUUGUCAAAGAUGGACUUGAAAAUCACAAUGAAGUUUCUUUCCUCUCCCCCACCCCAUAUUUGACCCUGUAGUCCUGUGAACAUGAGUGUUACUGGAGCAGCCCUAAAAGCAGGAGUUCAGGACUUUCUCCUCUGGUGACCACUUAAGGGCUACUUUAAUAGGUGGGAAGAUAAAGGGUUAAACCAGGGACAUUUCAGUGGCAAAACAGAAGCAAGGACAGAUGGGAAGAUUUCAGGGAUAGCGUGGGAAAUGUUAUUCCGUGCCACUUGCGCUCUAUUAUGUCAUCUCAAACAGUACUUGAUAGGUGAGGCUUUCUCUGACACCCUGGCAAAUGGGACACGUGGGGGCUGCUUCCUAAGCUACCGAAAGCACAUGUUCGUGUGCCUGUUGGACUGCCAGCCUUGGUAUCUUCUCAUCUCUGUUCCGUUGGCCUUCCGAUGACCCACAGAAAGGUGUGCUGGAGGGUUACUGAAGGAGAAAACAGACACUCAUAGGUGACUGGAUUACAGCCAUCUGGCAGUAAAAGCACUACCACCGAAAGCUCAAUGAUAGCAAGAUACUACACGGAUUACCAUUCGAUCUAACCUUUCAUAGCACUUAAAAAUUUUUACUUUUUAAAUGAAGCCGGCAAGCUCUCCAUCCCACAAGUAUCCACGGAGGCUAUGUGCAAGGGAGUGUUCUAAGAAUUAGCCUGGGGUAUGUUAAGUAUCCUUUCCAGAUCAGUUUGAACGCGACAGCGAACGCAAUUCCGGUCUCUAAAUCCCAAUUGCGGGCCAAGGCGCCGGAACCAAAGCGUUGCCGCUUCAUUUCCGGGCGGGAGGCGCCAGUUUGUGGCGAGGGAUCGAUUGCUUUUGCCUGGCGGGGGUCGGUCCGGAGAAGACGGCGAGCUCGGCGGCUGCGGGCCGGCCUGGCGGUGUACCGCGUCCUCGUCGCGGAGGAGCCCGAGCUGCUGAGAUCCGGGAGGCGCGCUGGGCCCGCGUCGGACGGCUCGGUCGUGUUUGCACACGCGCUGGUGCGAGGCCCCUUGUUGGUGAUGGAGGUGGUGAGUCUCCUGGUUUGUGAAAUGGACUUGAUUCGUAUUUCACGUAGCUGACCAAAGGAUGUAUGAAGCAUUCAGCCCAACAUCUGCCAAAUGAUAAUGCUCUUGAAAACAUACGGAUUUUGGUGCUUCAGCUUCUCUGUUCCUCAGUUUCCCUUGCUGAGAUCAUCAGUGACCUGCUACUUUCCAAAUCUAGUAUUUUCUCAUCUGUAGCCAACCUCAACAACAACAAAAAGGAGUUCUUUAUGGUGAAGUCAGACCAUCCUAGGCCUCUUGGGAGUUACUCCUUCCUUUUUGGAAUGAAUGCCCUAUGGGCAGGAUGGUUGAAAACCAGAGGGUAGUCCCUGCAGAGUCCUGUGCUUCUGAAGAAACACUCUUAUUAUGAAAGCUGUAUCGAAGCAGGAAUGGAGGUAGAAACAACCCCAUGACAACUUUGGAUUAAAGAUGAAGGCCAUACAAUAUGGAAGUAACCUGGGUCCCUGAAUCCCAUUUGGAAGAGAGCUGCCUGAACUGGAAGGUACUAUGCUGAGUGAACGUCACAGAGGAAGAUGCUAUUACAACAGCUGGUGCUGUUCGCCAUCUUCAGAAGGAGCAAACCUUCCAAGAGCUGUUUUUCUUUACAUCGAGAAGUGCAUUUCUCACUGGUGAGCGAAUAAUCAAUAGAUCAGGACCAGAAGUUUUGUGAUGAUUUCUCCGGGAAGAGACUGCCCAGGGUGCUUGCGGCCUGUUCUGCCUGUCUCCCUGCUGCUCCUGGCUCUCUGCAGAGUUUAGCAGAUUAAUCACCGUGCUCCAGCCCAGACUGUUAUUUUUAGCUCUGUUGACUUCUCAACUGUCUGCAAACAACCAUGCACUAGACAAAGUACCCUGCAGGUGGGCAAGAGAGCCCCGCGAAGGGAAACAGCCCUGCUUUGGGAAGAGGAGUACUCACCCCAGUGUGAAGAAUGGCAGGGUACCUCAGGAGGGAAGCUCACGGAAAGAAGGAAACCGUCCUGUUGACCGGUGGUUAGUCUUCACGUGGGUCGCGGCCAGGUGUAGUUGGCUUGCAGUAAACAGUUGGGCCAUCAGUGAACAAACGGACAAGUCAUCGCCCUCCCCCGCGCCGUGAAGGUGAUUUUGUGGCAGCUGGACUGCGCCUCACCCAGGUGCCGUAACUCCCGAGUCCAGUGUCACUGCCUUUCCCUUUGGUCGCCCUCGCCCGCCUCCAUGAUCACUGCCCAGCAGCACUGCCUCCGCUCGCGUCACUCGCUGUCACUUUGUUUAGGUCAUUUCCUUCAACCUUCCCUCUGGGGAGUCCCCUUAGAGCCUCAGCCUUUUUCUGGGCAUCUCCACUGUGCUCUUUUAAUUAAAAAAAAAAAUGUUUUUGGCUAGCUUUAUUGAGGUGGAAAUGGCAAACGGAAGUUGUAUAAGUUUAGGUUGUACAGUGUGAUUUUUUUGAAGGUGUACAAUGUGAUGACUUCAUAUAUGUAUACAUUUUUCAGUGGCGAGAACACUUAAGAUCUACUCUCGGCAGAUUUCAAGCAUACAAUAUAGUUUUAUUUACUGUAGUCACCCUGAUGUACCUCAGGUCCCCCCAAUAUAUUCUUCUUAUAACUGAGUUUGUUCUCUUUAGCCAACAUUUCCCCGUAUCUCCCAAGCCCGCGGCAACCGCUGUUCUACUGCCUGGUUCUGUGAGUCCAACUCUUUCAGAUUCUACACGUAAGUGAGACCAUACAGUAUCUGCCUUUGUGUCUGGCUUAUUUCACUUAGCAUAAUGCCCUCCAGGUUCCUCUAUGUUGUGGCAAAUGGCAGGAUUUCCUCUUCAUCAUAAUAGAAACACCUUCUUUCCCAUCUGGACCUAGCCUCUGAAUGUCAGAGACUGUAACUAGUGUCCAAGGGCAGUGACCCAGAAAAGCCCACAAUAGCAUCCUUGUUACUGCAGAAGCUCCCGUGAGGCCUAGUUCAUCCCUGACACUCAAUGUGACAACUUCCUCGCCUCUAACAAAAUGGAACAGGUAGUCCUGAAUUAAACCCUCUUACCAACUGUGGACAUUUGCUACCAUCUCAUGCUCCGGAAGUUACAGACAUGAUGAGGAAAGUCAAACGUGUCACGGACAGUUGGACAGAAAUGACAGAAAGGUCUUGCCUUCUUGAUGACCUUCCUGAGCUGCUAAAUUGCCCUGAGAUCACUUUCUUUUGGACUUCUUGUAGUUUAAACUGCUGUGGGGCGGGCACUCUGUUAUGUACAGAGGAAGAAAUCCUAACGGUGUGGGAUUGAGCAAGAGUUUCUUUAAGGAUGGGAGAUAUUUGUACAUAUAAAGCCCUUUAUUUUUUUUGUUCCAUAAUAAUAAUUAUAAUGUUAUUACUAUUGUAUCAUUAUUUGUAAAUAAUUCUUUAUCAUAUUUCUAGUGUACAUUUGGGUUUACUUGUAAUUUCUGUUUAUAUCAGUUCUAUUAAAAUCAGGAAGAAGAAAA
Herpailurus yagouaroundi (jaguarundi) is the source of this 3636-nucleotide long non-coding RNA. RefSeq lists it as uncharacterized. The transcript has 7 exons. The record is from RefSeq and is a predicted model, not a curated record. Lineage: Eukaryota; Metazoa; Chordata; Mammalia; Carnivora; Felidae.